CAGCAGCCGCGGGAACACAGAGGGUGCGAGCGUUAAUCGGAUUUACUGGGCGUAAAGCGUGCGUAGGCGGCUUUUUAAGUCGGAUGUGAAAUCCCUGAGCUUAACUUAGGAAUUGCAUUCGAUACUGGGAAGCUAGAGUAUGGGAGAGGAUGGUAGAAUUCCAGGUGUAGCGGUGAAAUGCGUAGAGAUCUGGAGGAAUACCGAUGGCGAAGGCAGCCAUCUGGCCUAAUACUGACGCUGAGGUACGAAAGCAUGGGGAGCAAACAGGAUUAGAUACCCGAGUAGUCCCUGUCUCUUAUAC
Molecule: ribosomal RNA, 301 nt
Filed under: uncultured bacterium
Lineage: Bacteria
Description: partial 16S ribosomal RNA
Rfam family: Bacterial small subunit ribosomal RNA
Source: RNAcentral